UACGUAGGGCGCAAGCGUUGUCCGGAAUUAUUGGGCGUAAAGAGCUCGUAGGCGGUCUGUCGCGUCCGUUGUGAAAACUCGAGGCUCAACCUCGGGCUUGCAGUGGAUACGGGCAGACUAGAGUGCGGUAGGGGAGACUGGAAUUCCUGGUGUAGCGGUGGAAUGCGCAGAUAUCAGGAGGAACACCGGUGGCGAAGGCGGAUCUCUGGGCCAUUACUGACGCUGAGGAGCGAAAGCGUGGGGAGCAAACAGGAUUAGAACC
This 262-nucleotide ribosomal RNA is filed under the name uncultured bacterium. RNAcentral describes it as "partial 16S ribosomal RNA". It matches the Rfam family "Bacterial small subunit ribosomal RNA", at positions 524 to 785 of the family's 1533-position model. The record is from RNAcentral.